RNAcentral lists this ribosomal RNA (497 nucleotides) under uncultured bacterium. RNAcentral describes it as "partial 16S ribosomal RNA". It matches the Rfam family "Bacterial small subunit ribosomal RNA", at positions 28 to 507 of the family's 1533-position model. The record is from RNAcentral.
GACGAACGCUGGCGGCGUGCCUAAUACAUGCAAGUUGAGCGAUGAAGAUUGGUGCUUGCACCAAUUUGAAGAGCAGCGAACGGGUGAGUAACGCGUGGGGAAUCUGCCUUUGAGCGGGGGACAACAUUUGGAAACGAAUGCUAAUACCGCAUAACAACUUUAAACAUAAGUUUUAAGUUUGAAAGAUGCAAUUGCAUCACUCAAAGAUGAUCCCGCGUUGUAUUAGCUAGUUGGUGAGGUAAAGGCUCACCAAGGCGAUGAUACAUAGCCGACCUGAGAGGGUGAUCGGCCAACUUGGGACUGAGACACGGCCCAAACUCCUACGGGAGGCAGCAGUAGGGAAUCUUCGGCAAUGGACGAAAGUCUGACCGAGCAACGCCGCGUGAGUGAAGAAGGUUUUCGGAUCGUAAAACUCUGUUGGUAGAGAAGAACGUUGGUGAGAGUGGAAAGCUCAUCAAGUGACGGUAACUACCCAGAAAGGGACGGCUAACUACGUG